Long non-coding RNA from Perca fluviatilis (European perch), 981 nucleotides. RefSeq lists it as uncharacterized. The transcript is spliced from 3 exons. Lineage: Eukaryota; Metazoa; Chordata; Actinopteri; Perciformes; Percidae. The record is from RefSeq and is a predicted model, not a curated record.
UCAUCUUUCAGCAUCAUCAAACAGAUUGUAUGUUGUGCAAAAUAUUUCCAUAUGGUUAUAUUCUACUUUUGUGUUUCUCAAGGAGAUCAUCAAAUCUACUCCAGAGAGCAUUGCAGCUACCCCCACAAAGCUCUGUCUCAUUCAUAUAUAUAUUAGACAAACGAGGAGUUUGGCGGGUGCAGUGCAGUUCCACUGGAAUCAACAUGUUUGUCUCAGCUGGAAAAGUACACUCCAAAGCUCCUGGAGCUGUUUAGUUUGAACAGAGGAGAGCGGUUGGUCAGUGCAUCAAGAACUUGUUGAUGGAACUGAUACAGGGAACUGCAGAGAGCAGUGUGCACGAGGACCUGGAAAUGGACUGUAUGACGUUCUAUGCUUGCCAUGAACCAGAUGAAGUGGCCAUCUUCGAGAGAGAGAAACCCAGUGCUUACAAAGCUCUGCAAUCUGGCCAGAACAUGCUGCUGUGUACUCGGGGUGACAUGCAUGCUGAAUCUCCAGUAUCCAUGCAAAAUUUGAGAAUUUAUGAGGUAUUUCAAAGACUUUUUUACGGGACUUGAUACACUGCGCCCAAAACUAACCUCCAAGUUCAUAAGCCUCAAAAACAUGCUUUUUGCAGUGAAACAUGAUUGUUGGCCUUGCACUGAAGACUGUUUUGUUUUUUUGUUCAAGGACUUUACAUUUUUCUCGGCCUGAUGAGUGUAUUCUUGAGUUGUACAUGAAGGCCUUUCAAGCACUUUGUGGGACUCUGCACUGGGUCCAAAACUAACUUCCAUGAUCAUUUCUGUUCAUGAACAUUUUUUGUUAUUUUAAAUUCAUUUAACUGAUGCACUCACUGAAAGUCACUGAAAAUAUCUUACCAAGCUGCAGUUGGUAAGCUGAUGUCACAUGUUCUAGUAUGUAAACUAGUAAGUUUUAAAGGAAAAUCUGCCAAUUUAAAACCAUGAUGUCAAAUGAUGCAAUGACUGUUAAGCUGUGAUGUUUAAA